Callithrix jacchus (white-tufted-ear marmoset) is the source of this 1290-nucleotide non-coding RNA. The record is from RefSeq and is a predicted model, not a curated record. NCBI's taxonomy places the organism in Eukaryota, Metazoa, Chordata, Mammalia, Primates, Cebidae.
AAGAUCACAUUUCAAAGACUUGGCUCCAGGGUCCCGGAGGAGGAGACAUUUCUGGCUCAUUGAUCCCUUUAAGAGCGUCACAGACAUUUGAAAAGGACAGAGAAAGGAACCCUGAAAGGAAAGGCGCCGGGAGGGGAGAAGACUCUCCCUGUUCCAUUGUUUUCCACGGGGAGAAGGAGGCCUCUGAUUUUCAGGGCGCCCUUGUGUUCAGGAAAGUGGCCUGUGGGAGUUUCAGGAUCUCAGUUCCAGCCCGCAGGCCGAGUGCUUUUCUGUGAAGCUUUCUCUGCAGUGUGGACGCUGGACGGGAAUCCAGACCCCAAAAGAGGGUUUUUGGAUCUUUCACAAGAAAGAAUUCGGGGUGAUUCAUGGACAAAACUUUCCGGAAAUACCUUCUCAAAUCAUAUCACGGUCGGGACCUCCAUCUUCAAGCCGCGUUUUAUCUCCAGGCCGGGAGCGGAAAUGAUCACGUUUAAUCAGACACACCUGAGGCUUGGCUUCCGUGGCGCCAUCUCGGCUCACUGCAUCCUCCACCUCCCGGGUUCAAGCUGUCCUCCUCCCUCAGCCUCCGCAGUGGCCGGGAUUACAGGCCCGGCCAGUUCUGUAUAUUGAGUAGAGACGGGGUUUGUCCGUGUUGCCCGGGCUGGUGUCGAACUCGCGACCUCAGGACACACACACAUUGAUUGCGUCACUGUUCACAAUAGCAAAGACUUGGAACCAACGCAAAGGCCCGUCAGUGAUAGGCUGGAUGAAGAAAAUGUCUCCCAUAGACACCACGGAAUACUACGAGGCCAUGAAAAAGGAAGAGUUGGUUUCCUUUGGAGGGACAUGGAUGAAGCUGGAAAGUGUCAUUUUCAGUAAACGGACACAAGAACAGAAAAUCAAACACCGUAUGUUGUCACCCUUGCCGUGAGCCGUUGUCAGGGCCCUGAACUUUGGAGGCCACGAAACUGGGUUUCAAUCCAAACACAACACCACGAUUUACUACCUCGGUUUCUCCGGAGAACUUAAUUCAUUCCUUCGACUGUGACUUUCUCAGUCUGUGGCAAACCACCUAGACUUUUUAACGACACGUAAACCAGCUAAUAUAUGCACAUUGAGUAACGUGGAAUUUUAAUGCACGUAAAGCGGUCCGUGAAUAGCAGCCAUUCUUGUUGAUUUGUAAGAGCUCUUUAUAUGUUAAGGACACAGGCUCUUUGAUCCUUGCCAAAUUUCGUGACUAUUCCUGAGCUUCUUUUAUGCUGCUUGAAAUGGUUUAUGUUUUUUUUAAACAUAAAGAGGUUUAAAAUUGAA